CCUACGGGUGGCAGCAGUGAGGAAUAUUGGUCAAUGGGCGGGAGCCUGAACCAGCCAAGUCGCGUGAGGGAAGACGGUCCUAUGGAUUGUAAACCUCUGUAGGCGGGGAGCAAGGCCGGGCACGCGUGCCCGGAGGGAGAGGACCCGCAGAAGAAGCAGCGGCUAACUCCGUGCCAGCAGCCGCGGUAAUACGGAGGAUGCGAGCGUUAUCCGGAUUUAUGGGGUUGAAAGGGUGCGUAGGCGGAUUUUUAAGUCAGCGGGACAAUGUCCGGGCUCAACCCGGGCCGGCCGUUGACACUGGGGAUCUUGCGUGGGCGACACUUAUGCGGCCUGCGUGGUGUAGC
RNAcentral lists this ribosomal RNA (344 nucleotides) under uncultured bacterium. RNAcentral describes it as "partial 16S ribosomal RNA". It matches the Rfam family "Bacterial small subunit ribosomal RNA", at positions 338 to 679 of the family's 1533-position model. The record is from RNAcentral.